GAUGAACGCUGGCGGCGUGCUUAACACAUGCAAGUCGAACGGAAAGGCUCCUGCUUGCAGGGGUACUCGAGUGGCGAACGGGUGAGUAACACGUGGGUGAUCUGCCCUGCACUUCGGGAUAAGCCUGGGAAACUGGGUCUAAUACCGGAUAGGACGAUGGUUUGGAUGCCAUUGUGGAAAGUUUUUCGGUGUGGGAUGAGCUCGCGGCCUAUCAGCUUGUUGGUGGGGUAAUGGCCUACCAAGGCGUCGACGGGUAGCCGGCCUGAGAGGGUGUACGGCCACAUUGCGACUGAGAUACGGCCCAGACUGCUACGGGAGGCAGCAGUGGGGAAUAUGGUACAGUGGGGGCACGCGUGAUGAGGCGACGCCGCGUGGGGGAUGCCGGCCUUGGGGUGGUAAACGCCUGUCGCUAGGGACGAAGCGGGAGUGACGGUACCUGGAGAAGAAGCACCGGCUAACUACGUG
This 465-nucleotide ribosomal RNA is filed under the name uncultured bacterium. Its description in RNAcentral is "partial 16S ribosomal RNA". It matches the Rfam family "Bacterial small subunit ribosomal RNA", at positions 28 to 507 of the family's 1533-position model. The record is from RNAcentral.